UACGGAGGAUGCGAGCGUUAUCCGGAUUUAUUGGGUUUAAAGGGAGCGUAGGUGGGCUGUUAAGUCAGCUGUGAAAGUUUGCGGCUCAACCGUAAAAUUGCAGUUGAUACUGUCAGUCUUGAGUACAGUAGAGGUUAGCGGAAUUCGUGGUGUAGCGGUGAAAUGCUUAGAUAUCACGAAGAACUCCAAUUGCGAAGGCAGCUGACUAGACUGUUACUGACACUGAUGCUCGAAAGUGUGGGUAUCAAACAGGAUUAGAUACCCUGGUAGUCCACACAGUAAACGAUGAAUACUCGCUGUUUGCGAUAUACAGUAAGCGGCCAAGCGAAAGCGUUAAGUAUUCCACCUGGGGAGUACGCCGGCAACGGUGAAACUCAAAGGAAUUGACGGGGGCCCGCACAAGCGGAGGAACAUGUGGUUUAAUUCGAUGAUACGCGAGGAACCUUACCCGGGCUUAAAUUGCAAAUGAAUAUAGUCGAAAGAUUAUAGCCGCAAGGCAUUUGUGAAGGUGCUGCAUGGUUGUCGUCAGCUCGUGCCGUGAGGUGUCGGCUUAAGUGCCAUAACGAGCGCAACCCUUAUCUUUAGUUACUAACAGGUCAUGCUGAGGACUCUAGAGAGACUGCCGUCGUAAGAUGUGAGGAAGGUGGGGAUGACGUCAAAUCAGCACGGCCCUUACGUCCGGGGCUACACACGUGUUACAAUGGGAGGUACAACAGGCAGCUACACGGCGACGUGAUGCUAAUCCCCAAAACCUCUCUCAGUUCGGAUUGGAGUCUGCAACCCGACUCCAUGAAGCUGGAUUCGCUAGUAAUCGCGCAUCAGCCACGGCGCGGUGAAUACGUUCCCGGGCCU
RNAcentral lists this ribosomal RNA (852 nucleotides) under uncultured bacterium. RNAcentral describes it as "SSU rRNA". It matches the Rfam family "Bacterial small subunit ribosomal RNA", at positions 524 to 1381 of the family's 1533-position model. The record is from RNAcentral.